AAGUCGUAACAAGGUUUCCGUAGGUGAACCUGCGGAAGGAUCAUUACAGAGUUCAUGCCCCUCGGGGUAGAUCUCCCACCCUUGUGUAUCAUUAUAGAAUGUUGCUUUGGCGGGCCGCGCUUCGGCGCCUGGAUUCGCGUCCAGCGUGCCCGCCAGAGGACCCCUAAACUCUGAAUGUUAGUGUCGUCUGAGUACUAUUAAAUAGUUAAAACUUUCAACAACGGAUCUCUUGGUUCUGGCAUCGAUGAAGAACGCAGCGAAAUGCGAUAAGUAAUGUGAAUUGCAGAAUUCAGUGAAUCAUCGAAUCUUUGAACGCACAUUGCGCCCCCUGGUAUUCCGGGGGGCAUGCCUGUUCGAGCGUCAUUUAUACCAAUCUAGCCCGGCUAGGUGUUGGGCUUCGCCGUCUGGCGGGCCUUAAAAUCAGUGGCGGUGCUUCCAGGCUCUACGCGUAGUAAUUUUCUCGCUAUAGGGUCCUGGGAGACGCUGGCCAACAACCCCAAAUUUUUCCAGGUUGACCUCGGAUCAGGUAGGGAUACCCGCUGAACUUAAGCAUAUCAAUAAGCGGAGGAAAAGAAACCAACAGGGAUUACCUCAGUAACGGCGAGUGAAGCGGUAACAGCUCAAAUUUGAAAUCUGGCUCUUUCAGGGUCCGAGUUGUAAUUUGUAGAAGAUGCUUUGGGUGUGGCCCUGGUCUAAGUUCCUUGGAACAGGACGUCAUAGAGGGUGAGAAUCCCGUAUGUGACUAGGCGCUUUCGCCCGUGUAAAGCUCUUUCGACGAGUCGAGUUGUUUGGGAAUGCAGCUCAAAAUGGGUGGUAAAUUUCAUCUAAAGCUAAAUAUUGGCCAGAGACCGAUAGCGCACAAGUAGAGUGAUCGAAAGAUGAAAAGCACUUUGGAAAGAGAGUUAAACAGUACGUGAAAUUGUUGAAAGGGAAGCGCUUGCAACCAGACUUAGUGGCGGCCGAUCAUCUAGGGUUCUCCCUGGUGCACUCGGUCGUCUCUAGGCCAGCAUCGGUUUGGGUGGUGGGAUAAAGGCCUUGGGAAUGUAGCUCCUCUCGGGGAGUGUUAUAGCCCUCGGUGCAAUGCCGCCUACCCGGACCGAGGACCGCGCUUCGGCUAGGAUGCUGGCGUAAUGGUUGUAAGCGACC
Molecule: ribosomal RNA, 1146 nt
Filed under: uncultured fungus
Lineage: Eukaryota; Fungi
Description: eukaryotic LSU rRNA
Rfam family: Eukaryotic large subunit ribosomal RNA (bases 513-1146)
Source: RNAcentral